UUAUUGGAGAGUUUGAUCCUGGCUCAGGACGAACGCUGGCGGCGUGCCUAAUACAUGCAAGUCGAGCGGACUUGAGGGAGCUUGCUCCCGAUGGUCAGCGGCGGACGGGUGAGUAACACGUGGGCAACCUGCCUGUAAGACUGGGAUAACUCCGGGAAACCGGGGCUAAUACCGGAUAAUUCAUUCCCUCACAUGAGGGAAUGCUGAAAGACGGCUUUUGCUGUCACUUACAGAUGGGCCCGCGGCGCAUUAGCUAGUUGGUGAGGUAACGGCUCACCAAGGCCACGAUGCGUAGCCGACCUGAGAGGGUGAUCGGCCACACUGGGACUGAGACACGGCCCAGACUCCUACGGGAGGCAGCAGUAGGGAAUCUUCCGCAAUGGACGAAAGUCUGACGGAGCAACGCCGCGUGAGCGAAGAAGGCCUUCGGGUCGUAAAGCUCUGUUGUCAGGGAAGAACAAGUACCGGAGUAACUGCCGGUACCUUGACGGUACCUGACCAGAAAGCCACGGCUAACUACGUGCCAGCAGC
This 531-nucleotide non-coding RNA is filed under the name Mesobacillus campisalis. RNAcentral's name for it is "Bacillus campisalis Bacterial small subunit ribosomal RNA". It matches the Rfam family "Bacterial small subunit ribosomal RNA", at positions 1 to 515 of the family's 1533-position model. Lineage: Bacteria; Bacillati; Bacillota; Bacilli; Caryophanales; Bacillaceae. The record is from Rfam by way of RNAcentral.